Molecule: ribosomal RNA, 497 nt
Filed under: uncultured bacterium
Lineage: Bacteria
Description: partial 16S ribosomal RNA
Rfam family: Bacterial small subunit ribosomal RNA
Source: RNAcentral
GAUGAACGCUGGCGGCGUGCCUAAUACAUGCAAGUCGAGCGGACGGACGAGAAGCUUGCGUCUCUGAUGUUAGCGGCGGACGGGUGAGUAACACGUGGAUAACCUACCUAUAAGACUGGGAUCACUUCGGGAAACCGGAGCUAAUACCGGAUAAUAUUUUGAACCGCAUGGUUCAAAAGUGAAAGACGGUCUUGCUGUCACUUAUAGAUGGAUACGCGCUGCAUUAGCUAGUUGGUAAGGUAAAGGCUUACCAAGGCAACGAUGCAUAGCCGACCGGAGAGGGUGAUCGGCCACACUGGAACGGGGACACGGUCCAGGCUCCUACGGGAGGCACCAGUAGGGAAUCGUCCGCAAUGGUCGAAAGCCUGACGGAGCAACGCCGCGUGUGUGAUGAAGGUCUUCGGAUCGUAAUACUCUGUUAUUAGUGAAGAACAUAUGUGUAAGUAACUGUGCACAUCUUGACGGUACCUAAUCAGAAAGCCACGGCUAACUACGUG